GUCAUGAGCAAGGUAUUAACUUUACUCCCUUCCUCCCCGCUGAAAGUACUUUACAACCCGAAGGCCUUCUUCAUACACGCGGCAUGGCUGCAUCAGGCUUGCGCCCAUUGUGCAAUAUUCCCCACUGCUGCCUCCCGUAGGAGUAAGACAAGGCCACGGGGCCAAAAGGCUGAACCGACAGCGCCGAGAAAGCAUCAAGGUUUCCAGAUCCUUAAUUUUUUAGGAAAGAAAAAGGAAAAAAAUUUUAACCUUUCUCCUUUGAGUCCCCAAGAAAAACUCACUCCUUUUUCCCUCCCCCGAUAAAAAAAAAA
RNAcentral lists this ribosomal RNA (311 nucleotides) under uncultured Enterobacter sp. Its description in RNAcentral is "partial 16S ribosomal RNA". Lineage: Bacteria; Pseudomonadati; Pseudomonadota; Gammaproteobacteria; Enterobacterales; Enterobacteriaceae. The record is from RNAcentral.